RNAcentral lists this ribosomal RNA (439 nucleotides) under uncultured bacterium. Its description in RNAcentral is "partial 16S ribosomal RNA". It matches the Rfam family "Bacterial small subunit ribosomal RNA", at positions 339 to 795 of the family's 1533-position model. The record is from RNAcentral.
CUACGGGUGGCUGCAGUGAGGAAUAUUGCACAAUGGAGGAAACUCUGAUGCAGCAACGCCGCGUGGAGGAUGACGCAUUUCGGUGUGUAAACUCCUUUUAUAUGUCAAGAAAAUGACGGUAGCAUAUGAAUAAGCUCCGGCUAACUCCGUGCCAGCAGCCGCGGUAAUACGGAGGGAGCAAGCGUUACUCGGAAUCACUGGGCGUAAAGGACGCGUAGGCGGGAUAGAAAGUCAGGUGUGAAAUCCUAUGGCUCAACCAUAGAACUGCACUUGAAACUUCUAACCUAGAGUAUGGGAGGGGAAGAUGGAAUUAGUGGUGUAGGGGUAAAAUCCGUAGAUAUCACUAGGAAUACCAAAAGCGAAGGCGAUCUUCUGGAACAAUACUGACGCUAAGGCGUGAAAGCGUGGGGAGCAAACAGGAUUAGAUACCCGUGUAGUC